RNAcentral lists this ribosomal RNA (489 nucleotides) under uncultured bacterium. RNAcentral's name for it is "bacterial SSU rRNA". It matches the Rfam family "Bacterial small subunit ribosomal RNA", at positions 28 to 507 of the family's 1533-position model. The record is from RNAcentral.
GAUGAACGCUAGCGACAGGCUUAACACAUGCAAGUCGAGGGGCAGCACGGGAGUAGCAAUACAACGUGGUGGCGACCGGCGCACGGGUGAGUAACGCGUAUGCAACCUACCUAUCAGAGGGGAAUAACCCGGCGAAAGUCGGACUAAUACCGCAUAAAACAGGGGCACCGCAUGGUGAUAUUUGUUAAAGAAAUUCGCUGAUAGAUGGGCAUGCGUUCCAUUAGGUAGUUGGUGAGGUAACGGCUCACCAAGCCGACGAUGGAUAGGGGAACUGAGAGGUUGGUCCCCCACACUGGUACUGAGACACGGACCAGACUCCUACGGGAGGCAGCAGUGAGGAAUAUUGGUCAAUGGGCGGGAGCCUGAACCAGCCAAGUCGCGUGAAGGAAGAAGGAUCUAUGGUUCGUAAACCUCUUUUGCAGGGGAAUAAAGUGCAGGACGUGUCCUGUUUUGUAUGUACCCUGAGAAUAAGGAUCGGCUAACUCCGUG